RNAcentral lists this ribosomal RNA (253 nucleotides) under uncultured bacterium. Its description in RNAcentral is "partial 16S ribosomal RNA". It matches the Rfam family "Bacterial small subunit ribosomal RNA", at positions 524 to 776 of the family's 1533-position model. The record is from RNAcentral.
GACAGAGGGUGCAACCGUUGUUCGGAAUUACUGGGCGUAAAGCGCGUGUAGGCGGCUAAGUAAGUCGGGCGUGAAAUCCCACGGCUCAACCGUGGAAGUGCACUCGAAACUGCAUAGCUAGAGUCCUGGAGAGGAAGGUGGAAUGCUUGGUGUAGAGGUGAAAUUCGUAGAUAUCAAGCGGAACACCCGUGGCGAAGGCGGCUCUCUGGUACGUGACUGACGCUGAGACGCGAAAGCGUGGGGAGCGAACAGG